UACGGCCAUAUCACGUUGAAACAUCGGUUCUUGUUCGAUCACCGAAUUUAAGAAUCAUUGAGCCUGGUCAGUACUCAGAUGGGUGACUGCUGGGGAAUACC
Acanthosepion pharaonis is the source of this 101-nucleotide non-coding RNA. Lineage: Eukaryota; Metazoa; Mollusca; Cephalopoda; Sepiida; Sepiidae. The record is from the annotation of a GenBank genome assembly.